Molecule: RNase P RNA, 345 nt
Filed under: Candidatus Berkelbacteria bacterium
Lineage: Bacteria; Candidatus Berkelbacteria
Description: RNase P RNA component class A
Rfam family: Bacterial RNase P class A
About the family: Ribonuclease P (RNase P) is a ubiquitous endoribonuclease, found in archaea, bacteria and eukarya as well as chloroplasts and mitochondria. Its best characterised activity is the generation of mature 5'-ends of tRNAs by cleaving the 5'-leader elements of precursor-tRNAs.
Source: RNAcentral
UACAUGAACCGUAGGAGUAGCUCUUGAACAAUCAAGAGAGGAAAGUCCGGGCACCUAGAGCAGCGUAUCCGUCGAAAGGCGGACUUCCGAGGUAAGAUUCGGAACGGGACAGUGGCACAGAGACAAUACCGCCCACCAAUGGUGGGUAAGGGUGAAAAGUGUGAGGUAAGAGCUCACAGCUUCGACGCCGAAAGGCUCGAAGAAGCAAAACCCUGCGUGGUGCAAGUCCGGUGGACCGUGCCGAUCAACUGUGGCUCGCAGGAUCGACCACGGUCCGGACGCGUAGAUAGAUUACUCCUCCCGCCUCAGGCGGGACAGAACCCGGCUUAUGAGUUUGUGUACUUA